Molecule: ribosomal RNA, 253 nt
Filed under: uncultured bacterium
Lineage: Bacteria
Description: partial 16S ribosomal RNA
Rfam family: Bacterial small subunit ribosomal RNA
Source: RNAcentral
UACGUAGGUGGCAAGCGUUGUCCAGAUUUAUUGGGUUUAAAGGGUGCGUAGGCGGCUUUGUAAGUCAGUGGUGAAAUAUGGCAGCUCAACUGUCAGGGUGCCAUUGAUACUGCGGAGCUUGAGUACAGAUGAGGUAGGCGGAAUUGACGGUGUAGCGGUGAAAUGCUUAGAUAUCGUCAAGAACACCGAUAGCGAAGGCAGCUUACUAGGCUGUAACUGACGCUGAGGCACGAAAGUGUGGGGAUCAAACAGG